Molecule: long non-coding RNA, 297 nt
Filed under: Physcomitrium patens
Lineage: Eukaryota; Viridiplantae; Streptophyta; Bryopsida; Funariales; Funariaceae
Description: long non-coding RNA (PPAT_LNC009162)
Source: RNAcentral
UUUUGGAGGGAGAAACUAAGGAGAUUCAAUGAUGAUUUUGUAACAAUUCAAUAAUCUCCACAAUGUCCUUGUCAGAGUUGCAUAUCUAAUUUGUGUUGUAGAACUCCAAUGCUUUAUGGAUCCCAAGUGUACAAAAUUUUGAGUUCAUCAUCUACCCACCUACACAUUUCCUCUUACAAAUAUUUUGCAAAGUUUGAUCAAUGCCAACACACUCCAAUCUUAUAGUAGUGACCUUUGCCAUAUUGAAACAUAGAAAGCAUACUCCACACAAGUAAGUUAGGACCAGCAAGGUUGCAC